RNAcentral lists this ribosomal RNA (305 nucleotides) under uncultured bacterium. RNAcentral's name for it is "bacterial SSU rRNA". It matches the Rfam family "Bacterial small subunit ribosomal RNA", at positions 337 to 656 of the family's 1533-position model. The record is from RNAcentral.
UCCUACGGGGCGCAGCAGUGGGGAAUAUUGCACAAUGGGCGAAAGCCUGAUGCAGCAACGCCGCGUGAAGGAAGAAGGGUUUCGGCUCGUAAACCUCUAUCAACAGGGACGAAAGAAAUGACGGUACCUGAAUAAGAAGCCCCGGCUAACUACGUGCCAGCAGCCGCGGUAAUACGUAGGGGGCAAGCGUUAUCCGGAAUUAUUGGGUGUAAAGGGUGCGUAGACGGAAGAACAAGUUGGUUGUGAAAUCCCUCGGCUCAACUGAGGAACUGCAACCAAAACUAUUCUCCUUGAGUGUCGGAGAG